Molecule: transfer RNA, 86 nt
Filed under: Leachiella pacifica
Lineage: Eukaryota; Rhodophyta; Florideophyceae; Gigartinales; Choreocolacaceae
Description: tRNA-Ser
Rfam family: tRNA
About the family: Transfer RNA (tRNA) molecules are approximately 80 nucleotides in length.
Source: RNAcentral
AGAGAGGUGGUAGAGCUGGUUUAUUACGUCUGAUUUGAAAUCAGAUGAAUCAAAAGAUUCCGUGGGUUCAAAUCCCACCCUCUCUA